Molecule: long non-coding RNA, 97 nt
Organism: Sinocyclocheilus anshuiensis
Lineage: Eukaryota; Metazoa; Chordata; Actinopteri; Cypriniformes; Cyprinidae
Exons: 3
Source: RefSeq, a predicted model, not a curated record
UUGCGGCAACCACAUGUGACGACCCCGGGCUGGAGUCCGCUUCUUCCAUCGGUGAAAGCCGAUCUAGCGAUCCACAGCGUGAAGUUGAUGUAUUCUC